Molecule: ribosomal RNA, 252 nt
Filed under: uncultured archaeon
Lineage: Archaea
Description: partial 16S ribosomal RNA
Rfam family: Archaeal small subunit ribosomal RNA
Source: RNAcentral
AACCAGCACCUCAAGUGGUCAGGAGGAUUAUUGGGCCCAAAGCAUCCGUAGCCGGCUCUGUAAGUUUUCGGUUAAAUCCAUGCGCUCAACGCAUGGGCUGUCGGAAAUACUGCAGAGCUAGGGAGUGGGAGAGGUAGACGGUACUCGGUAGGAAGGGGUAAAAUCCUUUGAUCUAUCGAUGACCACCUGUGGCGAAGGCGGUCUACCAGAACACGUUCGACGGUGAGGGAUGAAAGCUGGGGAGCGAACAGG